RNAcentral lists this long non-coding RNA (236 nucleotides) under Mytilus galloprovincialis (Mediterranean mussel). The record is from RNAcentral. Lineage: Eukaryota; Metazoa; Mollusca; Bivalvia; Mytilida; Mytilidae.
CAAUUAGAUGGAUAAAGUGAAUAAGCGAACAAUUAAAAUUAAAUAUUUGUUUAAUUUUAUAUCCGUGAAUCCUAUUUUGUUACUCUGGCCCAAGAUGACACUUGCUUUGACAAGGAACGUCAUAUAUUUUUAACAUUAACAUGUUUUGUUCAUGCAUGUUCCUUUGCAUAUGCAUUUUUUGUAAAGUUCCUAAAUAUUCUAAAACAAUUGUCCUCCCACAUUAUGUUUACUUCCGA